GCUUGGCAAACACUAAGGAUGCGUUUGGUUAUACUUUUUGAUUUUUGAUUUUUAAAAAAUAUUUUUAAUUUUUUUUAAUUUUUGCUAUUGAGUAAAAAUAAAAAAAAAGUAAAAAGUAUGUUUAGUAACUACGUUGCUAUAAAGCAAAAUGCAAGAUUUGGGGAUGGCAGGUGAAGAGCUUGACGAGAGAGAAGGAUUCAGGA
RNAcentral lists this long non-coding RNA (203 nucleotides) under Elaeis guineensis (African oil palm). Its description in RNAcentral is "long non-coding RNA (EGUI_LNC068473)". The record is from RNAcentral. Lineage: Eukaryota; Viridiplantae; Streptophyta; Magnoliopsida; Arecales; Arecaceae.